UUGCAAUCAUUGAAGUCAGUCUUGGGUUGGAUGACAAACUCUUGGUACCAUCGUCAAGUUUUCUAUCUCUAAGACUAUACAUACAAAGAUAUUUCGAUGGAAUCAUUGUCAAGUUUUCUAUCUCUGUUAGCCUUACAUUUGUUACCUACUUAAUUAGUUUAUGAUUUCUUUUAGUUGUACAUGAAGUGUAGGAGGUAAGGAGGAGAUCGAAAGGGGUUCAUGAUGUAUGAGAUGCAAGCUCGAUGGUGCUGUGGUCUCUUCCCUUGUCCUGCUAGUACACAAAAGGUCAGAUGUGAUGGCUUGCCUACCGCUACAGGGCAUAUUAGUCGAUGUUGCUGACAAUGGGAUCGAGAAGAUGGCAAUCAUAUGUCGAGAUCGGUGAUGUCCUUCAAAAGUUACACUCGGAUGUACAAGUUGUAUCCACUUUGGUCUUUAGUGGCAACGAACCAACCGAUGGCAGAAGAAGAUGAUAUCAAUUGUGGUAUCAUACAAAUUGAUGGCUGAGAUACUAUGGAUUCUGCAAUCAGAAUUCUUCUAUUAGGUCCCAUGUUUGUCUUUAAGAACUUGGAAAUUUCGAAGAGAGAUUACCAGAGAAAACAAUCCAAAAUAGCACAAGACAAACUGUCCCUCCCAGUAACGAAAUAAAUUGCUAGUUGAUUCUACAUUGACUAUUAUCUGCUAUUAGAAG
Molecule: long non-coding RNA, 688 nt
Filed under: Musa acuminata (dwarf banana)
Lineage: Eukaryota; Viridiplantae; Streptophyta; Magnoliopsida; Zingiberales; Musaceae
Description: long non-coding RNA (MACU_LNC000005)
Source: RNAcentral